Molecule: ribosomal RNA, 496 nt
Filed under: uncultured bacterium
Lineage: Bacteria
Description: partial 16S ribosomal RNA
Rfam family: Bacterial small subunit ribosomal RNA
Source: RNAcentral
GAUGAACGCUGGCGGCGUGCCUAAUACAUGCAAGUCGAGCGAACAGACGAGGAGCUUGCUCCUCUGACGUUAGCGGCGGACGGGUGAGUAACACGUGGAUAACCUACCUAUAAGACUGGGAUAACUUCGGGAAACCGGAGCUAAUACCGGAUAAUAUAUUGAACCGCAUGGUUCAAUAGUGAAAGACGGUUUUGCUGUCACUUAUAGAUGGAUCCGCGCCGCAUUAGCUAGUUGGUAAGGUAACGGCUUACCAAGGCAACGAUGCGUAGCCGACCUGAGAGGGUGAUCGGCCACACUGGAACUGAGACACGGUCCAGACUCCUACGGGAGGCAGCAGUAGGGAAUCUUCCGCAAUGGGCGAAAGCCUGACGGAGCAACGCCGCGUGAGUGAUAAGGUCUUCGGAUCGUAAAACUCUGUUAUUAGGGAAGAACAAAUGUGUAAGUAACUAUGCACGUCUUGACGGUACCUAAUCAGAAAGCCACGGCUAACUACGUG